Vicia villosa (hairy vetch) is the source of this 904-nucleotide long non-coding RNA. RefSeq lists it as uncharacterized. The record is from RefSeq and is a predicted model, not a curated record. The transcript is spliced from 3 exons. Lineage: Eukaryota; Viridiplantae; Streptophyta; Magnoliopsida; Fabales; Fabaceae.
UAUUAUUCUUUUAGGCUGAGAGUGAUUGGUGCCAUUUAGAUUAGAACUAAAUCAAAUAUAAAUUAGUUGCAACUAGCGUGAUUGCUGACUAGGAAUGAUUUAGAAAGAAUGAAAAGAAAUGCUCCUAGUGUGCAACAAAAAUAAUGAGGGCGUUUUUCUCUUCUUUUUGAAGACAAAAAAAGCUUUGGUAUUUUUUUAAUAUUAAUUACAGAGUUUAUUUUAGUUCAUUAACUCUCAUUUUUUUUAGGGUAGUAUUGUAUCAUUCGCAGAUAAAUUAUAGACCUAUUUUUUCUUUUCUUCUUUGUAAGUAGCGUCAAUUCUUGUUCUUCAUACAUAAGAUUUGUCUUCACGACCUUAACAGGAAUAAAAUACAAAAAGUGUGAAGCUAUGUUGAAAACUCCAUCCACCUUGUACUUUUUCUUCAAAGCUUCACAAAUAAUAUGAACUUCAUACUUUGUUACAGUUCCACGACUUCAUGUAUAUUCAUUGAUGAUUGUUUGUAGGACUCAAAACAAGAACAAUAUAUUGUUAAGUCACAAAAAAAAAUGAAGAAACAACAUCAGCAAACUUCAUCUAGUUUGAGAAAAUAUGAGAAGGAAUAUAAGAAUUAUGAAGUUGUUGUGUAAACUUCUUACUCCUUUUUUUUCAUAGCUUCACAGCCUAGAUGAACCUCAUAAUUGAUGUCUGUUCCAUGUACGUUUAGUUUCAAUAAAAUGUGCAUCCUGGAAAUAUUUUAUAAUAUUUGGUUCUGUUGUAUGAUGUUGUUUUGUUGAUAACUACUCUUGUAUGUUAUUGUUGUUGAUUAUUGUUCUCAUAGCAAGAAGAUUAGGUUGAGUUUAUUGUAUUCUAUGUAGAUUGUUUGUUUCACUAACCCUCACUUAAAAUACAUUCAUUUAAAUUGAGA